UGCUGAUGAUGUGGAAAGUCCCAAAUAAGAUCUUUGAACUUCUCCUAUGCAUGAUAUAAGUUCUCAUUUGGCUUCUGUUUGAAUCAAAUAAUCUUAUAACGCAGUCU
Capsicum annuum is the source of this 107-nucleotide non-coding RNA. The record is from Rfam. NCBI's taxonomy places the organism in Eukaryota, Viridiplantae, Streptophyta, Magnoliopsida, Solanales, Solanaceae.